AUGUUUUUAAAUUAUUUCGGUUUUGCUUAUUAUAUUUGUUAUUUUUAUUAUUUUGUUUAUUAUAUUUGCUACUUUACUUCACCAUAGAAUAUAUAUUGUUUCUCUAAUAAGCCAUGUAAGUAGUAGCAUACAAUAUAUAUCAUCAUUGGUAAUUUUAGACAGUGCAUAAAUCAAAAUGAAAUUUAAUUUAACCAAUAAUGCCAGUAGC
Molecule: long non-coding RNA, 208 nt
Filed under: Lathyrus oleraceus (garden pea)
Lineage: Eukaryota; Viridiplantae; Streptophyta; Magnoliopsida; Fabales; Fabaceae
Description: Pisum sativum (pea) long non-coding RNA (PSAT_LNC009009)
Source: RNAcentral